This 406-nucleotide ribosomal RNA is filed under the name uncultured bacterium. Its description in RNAcentral is "partial 16S ribosomal RNA". It matches the Rfam family "Bacterial small subunit ribosomal RNA", at positions 30 to 526 of the family's 1533-position model. The record is from RNAcentral.
AUUGAACGCUGGCGGCAGGCCUAACACAUGCAAGUCGAACGAGUGGCGGACGGGUGAGUAAUGUCUGGGAAUCUGCCCGAUAGAGGGGGAUAACUACUGGAAACGGUAGCUAAUACCGCAUACUAUCGGAUGAACCCAUAUGGGAUUAGCUAGUAGUGGGGGUAAAGGCUCACCUAGGCGACGAUCCCUAGCUGGUCUGAGAGGAUGACCAGCAAUACUGGAACUGAGACACGGCCCAGACUCCUACGUGAGGCAGCAGUGGGGAAUAUUGCACAAUGGGCGCAAGCCUGAUGCAGCCAUGCCGCGUGUAUGAAGAAGGCCUUCGGGUUGUAAAGUACUUUCAGCGGGGAGGCGUUACCCGCAGAAGAAGCACCGGCUAACUCCGUGCCAGCAGCCGCGGUAAUAC